AAUCAACGCUGGCGGCGUGCCUAACACAUGCAAGUCGAACGAGAAAAUCUGGGUGUAGCAAUACAUCUGGGUGAGUAAAGUGGCGAACGGGUGAGUAACACGUAGCUAACCUGCCCUUGAGCGGGGGAUAACCUGGGGAAACUCGGGCUAAUACCGGCAUAACAUUCCGACUUCACAAGGAGACGGAAUCAAAGGCCCGUAAGGGUCGCUCGAGGAGGGGGCUGCGGCCGAUUAGCUAGUUGGCGGGGUAAUGGCCCACCAAGGCGAUGAUCGGUAG
Molecule: ribosomal RNA, 277 nt
Filed under: uncultured bacterium
Lineage: Bacteria
Description: partial 16S ribosomal RNA
Rfam family: Bacterial small subunit ribosomal RNA
Source: RNAcentral